This 221-nucleotide unclassified non-coding RNA is filed under the name uncultured fungus. RNAcentral's name for it is "sequence contains ITS1, 5.8S rRNA gene". The stretch from base 173 to 221 matches the Rfam family "5.8S ribosomal RNA", at positions 1 to 49 of the family's 154-position model. Lineage: Eukaryota; Fungi. The record is from RNAcentral.
UUUCCGUAGGUGAACCUGCGGAAGGAUCAUUACUGAGGGGCUCCGGCCCCGUCAAGAUACCACCCCUUGCAUUUUGAGCACCUCACGUUUCCUCGGCAGGCUCGCCUGCCAAUGGGGACCACUUUAAAACCUUUUAUGUAUGCAGUAAACGUCUACAAAUAAAUGAAAUCAAAACUUUCAACAACGGAUCUCUUGGUUCUGGCAUCGAUGAAGAACGCAGC